RNAcentral lists this transfer RNA (69 nucleotides) under Dicyathifer mannii. Its description in RNAcentral is "tRNA-Ile". Lineage: Eukaryota; Metazoa; Mollusca; Bivalvia; Myida; Teredinidae. The record is from RNAcentral.
GACAUUGUGCCAGAUAAUUGGGUUUCCUUGAUGUGGAAGAAUAUGUAGGUUUUAUUCCUUCCAAUGUUA